GCACAAGCGGUGGAUGAUGUGGAUUAAUUCGAUGCAACGCGAAGAACCUUACCUACCCUUGACAUGUCCGGAACUUGCCAGAGAUGGCUUGGUGCCCGAAAGGGAACCUAGACACAGGUGCUGCAUGGCUGUCGUCAGCUCGUGUCGUGAGAUGUUGGGUUAAGUCCCGCAACGAGCGCAACCCUUGUCAUUAAUUGCCAUCAUUCAGUUGGGCACUUUAAUGAGACUGCCGGUGACAAACCGGAGGAAGGUGGGGAUGACGUCAAGUCCUCAUGGCCCUUAUGGGUAGGGCUUCACACGUAAUACAAUGGUCGGUACAGAGGGUUGCCAACCCGCGAGGGGGAGCCAAUCCCAGAAAACCGAUCGUAGUCCGGAUUGCAGUCUGCAACUCGACUGCAUGAAGUCGGAAUCGCUAGUAAUCGCGGAUCAGCAUGUCGCGGUGAAUACGUUCCCGGGCCUU
Molecule: ribosomal RNA, 460 nt
Filed under: uncultured Thiobacillus sp.
Lineage: Bacteria; Pseudomonadati; Pseudomonadota; Betaproteobacteria; Nitrosomonadales; Thiobacillaceae
Description: bacterial SSU rRNA
Rfam family: Bacterial small subunit ribosomal RNA
Source: RNAcentral